GGCUCUGUGGCGCAAUGGAUAGCGCAUUGGACUUCUAAUUCAAAGGUUGUGGGUUCGAGUCCCACUAGAGUCA
Haplochromis burtoni (Burton's mouthbrooder) is the source of this 73-nucleotide non-coding RNA. NCBI's taxonomy places the organism in Eukaryota, Metazoa, Chordata, Actinopteri, Cichliformes, Cichlidae. The record is from the annotation of a RefSeq genome assembly.